GACUUAUAUAAGAAUUUCUUUGUAUUGUACGGCUGAGACAAAAUGUAUUAGAAGAUAAUAUAAAAUUUUACCAUCAUUUAUUUAUAUGACAGAAGAUUUAUAACCUUAAAUGUGCACAAUUACGUAUGUUGUAAUAUACUGUGCUGUGUAAAAUCAUAAAAAUGAAUAUCAAAAAUUAUUUUUCUGGUAUUUGAGAUGGAACACCAUAUAAAUUUCGUAGACGUAAAGGACGGAAAAACGCCCUAGGAGAGAAAAAUGUGUGUCGCUUAUUAGAUAUGCCUUACGGGAGUGAAGAUGAAUUAUCACAAUCCAUGAACGAUUCAGAUGAGGAAAUGAUUGAAAUUUCAGAUAAAGUUGUAUUCGAAAAACAUGAUGAAUCCAAAAUCGAAUAGAAGAUUACACUUCAAAGGUUCCGGCUGACUUGUCUAGCACUUCAAAAGCUUCAAAUUGUUUUUCUAGCACUUCGAAAGUUACAGCUGACGUUCGUAGCACGUCAAAAAUUCCAUUUGAUUUCACUAGCAUUUCUAAGUACUCAGAUGAGGUUUCCGACGAUGCUGUAUAAAAAAAUUCUGCAAAACAAAAAUCCAAUAUUCCUCUAAAAUCACUUAUUACUUUAAAAUCAAUUCCUUGGAGAAAAUUCGUUGGAGAAAAGGAUCUUUGAUAAUUUUAGACGAUUAUAAAAAAUUUAAAGGAAAAUCAAAUAUUCCGAAUGGUUUGUUAUAGUUACAUAUAAUAAACAUAUAAUUUUUUCAAAUACUUUUGAUGAUGAUGAUUUAAUGAAUCUAAUACUACAACAGUCUAUAUUAUAUUUAGUACAAAAAGACCUUAAUAAACCGUCAAAACUUUCCCUAAAUUCCCUGUAAAAAUACAUAGGAAUUCUUAUUUUUUUAUCUGUGGCAUGUGUUUCGUGCAUUAGAGAUCUCUGGAACCCGAUCUUGGGUAACGAUAUGGUGAAAUAACUAUGGGAAUCAACAAGUUUGAGGCCAUUCGUUCCAUUCUUCAUUUCAACGAUAACACUAACAAUUCACAAGCUAACGAUUCUACUACAAAUAAACUGCUCAAAUUGCGUCCUAUCAUAGACCAUGUGAAUAAUAAAUUUUCUAGUGUACCCAUGAUUGAGAGUCUUUCUGUUGAUGAACAAAUUUGUGCAACUAAAAUAAAAUAUUCGUUACGACAAUACAAUCCUCGAAAACCCAAAAAAUAAGGCUACAAAUAAUUGGAAUUGUACUCGGACAAGAAAACGUAAUUAUUGAUGGAGAGACAGAUGUAGGAGCAAAUUCUAAUAUUGUUAAUCGUUUGAUUAGAGGUAUCCCAGAAAAUUGUCGAUAUACCGUAUAUUUUGACAAUUAUUAUACCUCCCUACCCCUCAUGGCUGAGCUGAAGAAGGGGGGUAUUUUUGCAUUGCCGAUGACUAAAGUAUGACAACAAGUGCAAGGGGGACUGUAAAAGAAUUUGUAACAGAAUAUGACUGUUAUCCGUCUCUUGUUCAUUGGAACGACCACAG
Diorhabda sublineata is the source of this 1504-nucleotide long non-coding RNA. RefSeq lists it as uncharacterized. The record is from RefSeq and is a predicted model, not a curated record. NCBI's taxonomy places the organism in Eukaryota, Metazoa, Arthropoda, Insecta, Coleoptera, Chrysomelidae. The transcript is spliced from 2 exons.